This 254-nucleotide ribosomal RNA is filed under the name uncultured bacterium. Its description in RNAcentral is "partial 16S ribosomal RNA". It matches the Rfam family "Bacterial small subunit ribosomal RNA", at positions 524 to 776 of the family's 1533-position model. The record is from RNAcentral.
UACGGAGGGGGCUAGCGUUGCUCGGAAUCACUGGGCGUAAAGCGCACGUAGGCGGACUCUUAAGUCGGUGGUGAAAUCCUGGAGCUCAACUCCAGAACUGCCUCCGAUACUGGGGGUCUUGGAGUCCGGGAGAGGUGAGUGGAACUGCGAGUGUAGAGGUGAAAUUCGUAGAUAUUCGCAAGAACACCAGUGGCGAAGGCGGCUCACUGGCCCGGUACUGACGCUGAGGUGCGAAAGCGUGGGGAGCAAACAGG